UGUGGUAUUAGUGCAAUGUUU
Molecule: non-coding RNA, 21 nt
Filed under: Caenorhabditis elegans
Lineage: Eukaryota; Metazoa; Nematoda; Chromadorea; Rhabditida; Rhabditidae
Source: RNAcentral